AGAGAGUUGGAUGAGUGGUUUAAGUCGUUCCCCUGCUAAGGGAAUGUAUCCGAAAGGGUACCGAGAGUUCAAAUCUCUCACUCUCUGCCA
This 90-nucleotide transfer RNA is filed under the name Klebsiella phage vB_KpM_FBKp24. RNAcentral's name for it is "tRNA-Ser". It matches the Rfam family "tRNA". Rfam says of the family: Transfer RNA (tRNA) molecules are approximately 80 nucleotides in length. The record is from RNAcentral. Lineage: Duplodnaviria; Heunggongvirae; Uroviricota; Caudoviricetes; Chimalliviridae.